This 429-nucleotide ribosomal RNA is filed under the name Bacteroidota bacterium. RNAcentral describes it as "Bacteroidetes bacterium partial 16S ribosomal RNA". It matches the Rfam family "Bacterial small subunit ribosomal RNA", at positions 355 to 776 of the family's 1533-position model. Lineage: Bacteria; Pseudomonadati; Bacteroidota. The record is from RNAcentral.
UAGGGAAUCUUCCGCAAUGGACGCAAGUCUGACGGAGCAACGCCGCGUGAGUGAAGAAGGAUCUCGGUUCGUAAAACUCUGUUGUUAGAGAAGAACAGCGCAUAGAGUAACUGUUAUGCGUGUGACGGUAUCUAACCAGAAAGCCACGGCUAACUACGUGCCAGCAGCCGCGGUAAUACGUAGGUGGCAAGCGUUGUCCGGAUUUAUUGGGCGUAAAGCGAGCGCAGGCGGUCAAUUAAGUCUGAUGUGAAAGCCCCCGGCUCAACCGGGGAGGGUCAUUGGAAACUGGUUGACUUGAGUGCAGAAGGGGGGAGUGGAAUUCCAUGUGUAGCGGUGAAAUGCGUAGAUAUAUGGAGGAACACCAGUGGCGAAGGCGACUCUCUGGUCUGUAACUGACGCUGAGGUUCGAAAGCGUGGGUAGCAAACAGG